Molecule: non-coding RNA, 2443 nt
Organism: Salmo salar (Atlantic salmon)
Lineage: Eukaryota; Metazoa; Chordata; Actinopteri; Salmoniformes; Salmonidae
Source: RefSeq, a predicted model, not a curated record
UACAGAUUUUGUGCCAACCUGUCACUCAAUCGUUAUAACUUUUAAAAUAUUUUUAUAUUGAGACAUUACAACAAAAACUGAGGGGGCACAAGUUUCAACUGAGGGGGCUAAUCCCCCUUUUGACUAAUCGUGGAACCGGGCCAGCUACAGUAUAGAGUAUAUUUUUUAUUUGAAAAAUUAUUUCUCACUGAUAUGAAAGAUACGUUUCGAAAACCGGUUUGAACGCGAUUAUUAUUUACUUUUCUAAACGUUAAAACAGAGCGUCGAAUGUUUGUUUACAUUGAGACAAAUGCGGGUGUAACACCUGAACCCCUGAAAACCAACAUACAGAGAAGGGUUUUCGAGAGCUAACGUUAGCAUACUGUAGUUAUCAGCUGAUUUAGUAGUCACACCAUGAUUAACUGUAUAUGGCAAUAAGGACGACGACAGUCAUUAAAACCAAAUGUAUAUACCGUUACUGUAUAGGUUAUUGGAUGAUCUAGACGACUUAAAAAUGUAAAAUAAACAAAAAUCCUCUAUCAAUUUUAGCUAGCUAGGUACAUUACCUUGAUUUGUUUCCGGAUGUGCGGAUGGGAUGUUGCGAAUCUUUGUUUCACUACGAACAAGUAAAUAGAGGGCACCGUAUCUCAAGACAUGACUGGAGAGAAACACUGUUUGGAGCACUGUACCUAGUCAAUUCACUUUGCUGUUUAAUGUAUGCAACUUGCUACAAUGAGUUCAGAUUCGGUUAUAUUGUUGGAGACGGUGACAUUUUCUGCUGAAAACCACCAAGAUCAACGGACUAAAGACCCCAAAGAAACCAACUAUCCAAUAGGCACCGUAGCCUCUCCCUAUUACCUAUCAAUGAUGUAGCUAUAUAAAAAUCAUUCGUACUAAUGUGGUGGAAAACUGGAUUUUUUAAAGCAAAUACCAAGUUGGCAGCAUCCAGCACUCACCAUGUUUCUUUCCUUUAUCCUGAAGAUCCUCUUUUCACCAUUUAGAUGCACCAGGUCCCUAGCAGAGCAAACCUUCCUCAUCUUAAUUCCAACAUCAUCACCCGUCUCCAUCAUAACCAUGUUCUCUUCUUUGUUGUCAAUAAUAUGUUUACAGGUGUGGACCAAAGACUCAAAAGAAAGGAAAACAAACCCAAAACACAAAGGAGAGGACGAAAGAGGUGUCCGGUGGAUGGCUGUCAAGUCACCGUCAUUUACCUACCUCGUCACCUGCGGCAGGUCCAUGAGUGGGGCAGAGAUUCCACUGCACUAAAGAUUUCACAAUUGCACUGCACUAAUAUCUAACUAGUAAUCUAACAAUUCCACAAACACUACCUAAUACACAGAAAUCUAAGUAAAGGGAUGGAAUAAGAAUAUAUACAUAUAAAUAUAUGGAUGAGCAAUGACCGAGCGGCAUAGGCAAAAUGCAAUAGAUGGUAUAAAAGUACAGUAUAUACAUAUGGGAUGAGUAAUGCAAGAUAUGUAAACAUUAUUAAAGUGACAGUAGCAAGUAAAUAACAGUCUUUGUAAACUACUUCUACUCUGUAAUUGCCAGUUUUUUAUGUCAAAUGUUUCCGGAGGAGAGGACUUACCUGUUCCAGUGGAUGUCUUUCCAUCUUCUGAGGAUUCAACUGACAACGAGAGCCCACAAACACACAGAGGCGAGGACUUACACAUCCCAGCGGAUGUCUUUCCAUCUUCUGAAGUGUCUUUCUACAACAACAGCCCCAUAACAAAUGAAAACACACCACAGAUACAGUCAACAUCAGAAGUCUUCAUUCAACCUGAACAGUAAACAGAGGAGAGGACGAAAGAGGUGUCCGGUGGAUGGCUGCCAGGUCACCGUCAUUCACCUUCCUCAUCACCUGCGGCAGGUUCAAGAGUGGGGCUUCCCUAUGGCUCAGUUGGUAGAGCAUGGUGUUUGCAACGCCAGCAUGGUGCGUGCAACGCCAGGGUUGUGGGUUCGAUUCCCACGGGGGGCCAGUACAAAAAAACAAAAUGCAUGAAAUGUAUGCAUUCACUACUGUAAGUCGCUCUGGAUAAGAGCGUCUGCUAAAUGACAAAAUGUAAAAAUGGGGCAGAGAGGAUUCACAGUCUGCAGUGAACACAUUCGGGCCUCAGAGCACCAAGCAGACAUGGUGGCAGCAGCAAGGCUAAGAACAACUAUCACUCCAGGCCUUUCCCCAUGACAGGCUGUCAUGCAGUGGUCAAAAGUCUGCCAGCCCACCUGAGAAAGCAACACAAGCUUGACAAUAACUCUCCUCUAUACAGAGAGCUUCUUACAGCAUCACAGAAGAGAAACAAGGUCAAAUGUCAAUGAAUUAAUUUUAUGAGUCUACUGUGAAUAAUUAUUCUACCUGAUGUAUUGAAGUUUAAUGAGAAAUAUGUAAUUGAAUUGGGACAUGAUUGAACAAGAGAAUAUUUGGGAAAGGAAUAAAGAAAGCGCUAGAACUGCCACACAGCUCGGCAAA